Gambusia affinis (western mosquitofish) is the source of this 1026-nucleotide long non-coding RNA. RefSeq lists it as uncharacterized. The transcript has 2 exons. Lineage: Eukaryota; Metazoa; Chordata; Actinopteri; Cyprinodontiformes; Poeciliidae. The record is from RefSeq and is a predicted model, not a curated record.
GGAUGAAGGGAAGUUUAUUUUUCAGUCAUUUUUUUAUCAUGUUCAUUCAUUUCAGACUAAAUAAAUAGCUGGAAGCUAAUUAGCUUGCUUGCUAAAUAUCUAAGCUGGACAGUUACCUUGCCAACAAGGUGUACGACAAUUAUUGAGUCACUAAAAAACGAUGACAUCAUUCUGACAUCACAACGUUUGUGAGGUUCUGUGUCCUGCAUGGUUUGUCUCCCCAGUAACGGCCCAAAGGACUCUGGGAAGGCGUAGGAAUAUGCAGGACGCUCGCCGCGCCGGCCGACCAGCAGCCGGGGGCGGAGCUUACUGUCCGACAUUGUGGAACGGGAUUGGACGUCACGGCUCAGAGCUGCGCUCCCAUUGGCCACCAGGACAGAGCUGGAGGCCACGCCCCCAGGUGUCCAUGUCGGGAACUGGAGCUGCACCAGUUCACACUGGGAAUAUUGACGCAUAAACAGGAAAUGUGAAACGUCCAGAUCAGAGACUGGGAGCCACUGGUCCAGAGGAACCGGAGGAACAUGACAUGAAGGAUGUUGCUCAACCUUUAUGACAAUAACGGACAGCAAACGUUUUGAUAUGAAAUCAUGCUAAAUGAUAAAGACAUGAAAGCAGAAGCUCUGACCCAUGGGAGGUCAGAGGCUCCCAGAUGUCAUGGUGUCCAACCGAGUGACUCCUCAACUCUCCGGUUUGAAAAACCACAAAAAAAGUUCCAGAACCGGCGACCCGGCAGAACCGUAGACGGUAAAAAGCUCAGGCGGGAUCCAAACGGCUCUUAGAACUACAGGAGGUUCAAACUCCCUCAUUGACGUUCAGCUUACAGGAAAAACAUUAAAACAAACUGACCAAUGAGAUCCGUCACACACACACACACACACACACACUCACUUCAAUCCAAAAGCACAUAAUUCUGAACUUUAACCCUAGAAAAGAUUACAUUUCAGUUUGAUAUAUUUUAUAAUCAACUGGUUAUAGAGUAACAGAUUACUAAACAGUAUUAAUCAAUAGUUUCCAUUUUAGUUCCAA